RNAcentral lists this ribosomal RNA (497 nucleotides) under uncultured bacterium. RNAcentral's name for it is "partial 16S ribosomal RNA". It matches the Rfam family "Bacterial small subunit ribosomal RNA", at positions 28 to 507 of the family's 1533-position model. The record is from RNAcentral.
GAUGAACGCUGGCGGCGUGCCUAAUACAUGCAAGUCGAGCGAACGGACGAGAAGCUUGCUUCUCUGAUGUUAGCGGCGGACGGGUGAGUAACACGUGGAUAACCUACCUAUAAGACUGGGAUAACUUCGGGAAACCGGAGCUAAUACCGGAUAAUAUUUUGAACCGCAUGGUUCAAAAGUGAAAGACGGUCUUGCUGUCACUUAUAGAUGGAUCCGCGCUGCAUUAGCUAGUUGGUAAGGUAACGGCUUACCAAGGCAACGAUGCAUAGCCGACCUGAGAGGGUGAUCGGCCACACUGGAACUGAGACACGGUCCAGACUCCUACGGGAGGCAGCAGUAGGGAAUCUUCCGCAAUGGGCGAAAGCCUGACGGAGCAACGCCGCGUGAGUGGUGAAGGUCUUCGGACCGUAAAACUCUGUUAUUAGGGAAGAACAUAUGUGUAAGUAACUGUGCACAUCUUGACGGUACCUAAUCAGAAAGCCACGGCUAACUACGUG